GGGAUGAUGAGGAUAGGGUGAGAGGGGAUUUUGGCAAAGACAGACUUGAGAAGGCACCAGGUUUAGUACAUGGUAAUAGUACACGUUCCAGUUUCUCUGGG
Long non-coding RNA from Phyllostomus discolor (pale spear-nosed bat), 101 nucleotides. RefSeq lists it as uncharacterized. The record is from RefSeq and is a predicted model, not a curated record. The transcript has 3 exons. Lineage: Eukaryota; Metazoa; Chordata; Mammalia; Chiroptera; Phyllostomidae.